Molecule: long non-coding RNA, 2155 nt
Filed under: Macaca fascicularis (crab-eating macaque)
Lineage: Eukaryota; Metazoa; Chordata; Mammalia; Primates; Cercopithecidae
Description: lncRNA (ENSMFAG00000064191.1)
Source: RNAcentral
AUGUGUCCUUCUCGUAGGAACUUCUUCCUCUUCGGCCCGCUGAGUAGCUGGCACUUGAAGGCAGGUGCCAACGCACCGGCGACACGCUUCCGUGUUUGCCCAGGAAAAACUGCGGUGCAGGUAUGCACAUCGUUUACGGGAUCAGCCACCGGCAGUUGCCUUGCAACCGUGAUGACAAAUCUCUGCCGGCUCUUUUGGGUCUCAUCCCUGUAUCUAUAAAUUGCAUCCCAACAUAAAGAUCGGAAUGUUCCUUUUGCUGGCCCAAUCUCUCACCCUUUCCAAACUCCAGAAAUCUUGUCUGUCCUCCGCAAAACACCCCUGCUUCUUUCUCUGAAGGCGGUCUUCAGGCCGGGCACACUGGGAGGAUCGCCCCGGAGCCCGGGAAGGCCGCAGCGAGGUGAGGUGAGAUCACACCAUUGCACUGCAGCCCCGGCUGCAGAGCCGGAGCCCCGUCUCGAAACAAACAAACACACACACACACACACACACACACACACACACACACACAAAGAAAGAGCCCAGGCAACCUAGUGAAACCCUGUUAGGGCUGGAAGUAUCUGCACCCCAGCUAUUCUAGAGGCUGAGGCAGGAGGAUGGAUGGAGGCUGGGAGGUGGGUGCUGCACUGAGCAGCGACUGCACCGCUGCACUCCAGCCUGGGUGACAGAGCCAGACCCCAUCCCAAAUCAAUAAACAUAAAAAUAAAGGAACCAGUUUGUAGAAAGCGGGAGAGGGUCCCAUUGAACUUCAAGCCUUCAGGCUACAGCUGCGGCUGGACAGGUUGGAGCAGCAGGCUGGAGCAGUGGCCAUCUUGGCCGGGAUCAUUGACCCUGAUCUAUCAUCGGGAGGAGGAAGAGCUGAUCUCAUGCAGGGAGGGCAGGUGGACUACGUGUGGACUCUGGUGAUCUGUUUGGGUGCCAGGUGUUGCUCCCAGGGCCACCUGUAACUGUGAAUGUGCGGGAACCCUGACUUGAGAAGGGCGUGGCCACGGCGAGCCUCGGCCCCUCAGGGAUGAGAGUUUGGUUCACGGUACCCAGGGAAACCACCAGCAUCGGCAGUGGUGAUAGCUGAGGAGGAGGGGGGAUUUGGAGGAGAGACACAGGAUGAGUAGCAGGGGCAGCCCUGUGAUCAACAACUGCUGCAAGAGGGGCUGUUUGUUCGACUCACUAGUCUUCUGCGGCUCUAUGCAGUACUGAAGAGCAGAAGACAGAAGACACAAAGACCACAAAAAUUAGCCGAGUGGUGCUGUGCGUCCAUAAUCCCAGCUACUCGGGAGGCUGAGACAGGAGAAUCGCUUGAACCCGGGCGUGGGAAGGUUCAGCGAGCCUAGAUCACGCCAUUCCAGUCCAACCUGAGCAUUCGAGCGAGACUCUUAUCUCGGAAAAUAAAGACAGAAUUAAAGAGCCCAGUGCGGUGGCUUACAUCUGUGAUCCCAGCGCUUUGGGAGGCCCAGGCGGGCGGAUCGCCUGAGGUCAGGAGCUCGAGACCAGCCUGGCCAACGUGGCGAAAGCCCCGGAAAAAUACAAAAAUCAGCCAGGGCGUGGUGGCGUCGCCUGUAAUCCCAGUUACCCGGAGGCUGGCCUUGGGAGAAUCGGCUGGAACCCGGGAGGUAGGGGCUGGACUGAGCUGAGAUCGUGCCACUGCACUCCAGCCUGAGUGACAGAGCAAGACUUUGUCUCAAGGAAACACAAAACAAAACAAAACAAAACAAAAACAAACAAACAGCAACAAAAAACCGGGCGGCGGUGGCUCACGCCUGUAAUCCCAACACUUUGGGAGGCGGCAGCUGGGCAGAUCACCAGAGGUAGGGAGUUGGAGACCAGCCUGACCAACAUGGAGAAAGCCCGUCUGUACUAAAAGUACAAACUUAGCCGGGCGUGGUGGCGCAUGCCUGUAGUCCCAGCUACUCGGGAGGCUGAGGCAGGAGAAUCGCUUGAACCCGGGAGGCAGGAGGGUGCGGUGAGCCCAGAUCGCGCCAUUGGACUCCAGCCUGGGUAACAAGAGCGGAACCUCCGUCAGAAAAAAGAAAAAAAAAAAUGUGAGAGUUGUACUCAUCCUGUCUUCAAAAUCCCAUGUGUAUUUGACACUUUACAGCACAGCUCCAUUAGAACUGACCACAUUUCCAGGGCUCCCUAGAUACCUGUGGCUAGCGGCUGC